UUAAAAAGCUCGUAGUUGAACCUUGGGCCUGGCUGGCCGGUCCGCCUCACCGCGUGUACUGGUCCGGCCGGGCCUUUCCUUCUGGGGAACCUCAUGCCCUUCACUGGGCGUGUUGGGGAACCAGGACUUUUACUUUGAAAAAAUUAGAGUGUUCAAAGCAGGCCUUUGCUCGAAUACAUUAGCAUGGAAUAAUAGAAUAGGACGUGUGGUUCUAUUUUGUUGGUUUCUAGGACCGCCGUAAUGAUUAAUAGGGAUAGUCGGGGG
This 264-nucleotide ribosomal RNA is filed under the name uncultured Ascomycota. RNAcentral describes it as "partial 18S ribosomal RNA". It matches the Rfam family "Eukaryotic small subunit ribosomal RNA", at positions 619 to 888 of the family's 1831-position model. The record is from RNAcentral. Lineage: Eukaryota; Fungi; Ascomycota.